RNAcentral lists this ribosomal RNA (1129 nucleotides) under marine bacterium AK6_004. Its description in RNAcentral is "bacterial SSU rRNA". It matches the Rfam family "Bacterial small subunit ribosomal RNA", at positions 72 to 1210 of the family's 1533-position model. The record is from RNAcentral.
UCUCCCGCUUGCGGGGGUGAUUAGUGGCGAACGGGUGAGUAAUACGUGAGUAACCUGCCCUUGACUCUGGGAUAAGCCUGGGAAACCGGGUCUAAUACUGGAUACUACUCCUUAUCGCAUGGUGGGGGGUGGAAAGGGUUUUACUGGUUUUGGAUGGGCUCACGGCCUAUCAGCUUGUUGGUGGGGUAAUGGCUCACCAAGGCGACGACGGGUAGCCGGCCUGAGAGGGUGACCGGCCACACUGGGACUGAGACACGGCCCAGACUCCUACGGGAGGCAGCAGUGGGGAAUAUUGCACAAUGGGCGGAAGCCUGAUGCAGCGACGCCGCGUGAGGGAUGACGGCCUUCGGGUUGUAAACCUCUUUCAGCAGGGAAGAAGCCACAAGUGACGGUACCUGCAGAAGAAGCGCCGGCUAACUACGUGCCAGCAGCCGCGGUAAUACGUAGGGCGCAAGCGUUGUCCGGAAUUAUUGGGCGUAAAGAGCUCGUAGGCGGUCUGUCGCGUCUGCUGUGAAAGCCCGGGGCUCAACCCCGGGUCUGCAGUGGGUACGGGCAGACUAGAGUGCAGUAGGGGAGACUGGAAUUCCUGGUGUAGCGGUGAAAUGCGCAGAUAUCAGGAGGAACACCGAUGGCGAAGGCAGGUCUCUGGGCUGUUACUGACGCUGAGGAGCGAAAGCAUGGGGAGCGAACAGGAUUAGAUACCCUGGUAGUCCAUGCCGUAAACGUUGGGCACUAGGUGUGGGGGACAUUCCACGUUCUCCGCGCCGUAGCUAACGCAUUAAGUGCCCCGCCUGGGGAGUACGGCCGCAAGGCUAACACUCAGAGGAAUUGACGGGGGCCCGCACAAGCGGCGGAGCAUGCGGAUUAAUUCGAUGCAACGCGAAGAACCUUACCAAGGCUUGACAUUCACCGGACCGCACUGGAGACAGUGCUUCCCUUCGGGGUCGGUGGACAGGUGGUGCAUGGUUGUCGUCAGCUCGUGUCGUGAGAUGUUGGGUUAAGUCCCGCAACGAGCGCAACCCUCGUUCUAUGUUGCCAGCACGUGAUGGUGGGGACUCAUAGGAGACUGCCGGGGUCAACUCGGAAGAAAGUGGGGGAUGACGUCAAAUCAUCAUGCCCCUUAUGGCUU